Bubalus bubalis (water buffalo) is the source of this 488-nucleotide long non-coding RNA. RefSeq lists it as uncharacterized. The transcript has 2 exons. Lineage: Eukaryota; Metazoa; Chordata; Mammalia; Artiodactyla; Bovidae. The record is from RefSeq and is a predicted model, not a curated record.
GCUCGGUCCCGCCCCUCUGCCCUCUCUGUUGGUCCUACCUUGUAGACCUCAGAGAAGAAGCCGGCCCCGAUCUUCUCGGCGCAGUGGAAAUCGUCCACGCGUGCCAGGCUGGACACGGCGCUGCGGAGAGCUCGGUCACUGGCGGUUGACAACUCGGCUCAGGGAGCCGCAAGAUUCCUGGGCUCAAAGGACACGCAGGACUGAAAAAUGGAUCCUUCUGGCCCAGCCACAAUCGGAGGCAGCCCAGCAAUCUACCUACCUUCCCAGCCUCCGCCCUGGCCCAGCCUGCCCAUUUCCCAGGUCUCGACCUUUACACGUUAAACCUCCGGACUCCCUGACACUUUCUACCUUCUCGGGGGGUGGUGAUGCCCCGAGACCUGAGCGAGCCCUUGGCCAGCCCAUUCCAAGUGUGGCCCCGACUCCUCCUCAUUCAUCCCGCCUCCCUCGAAUAAAGUUCAGAUUCCAGAGCCUGGUCAAGUGACCACCCA